UGCUCUCUGCCCUGCAGGUGAGGUCAGAACGCCCAGGCGGAAUAAUAUUUUUUUGGGAUCGCUUCAGGUCUGUUGUGUGCCAGCCCACCCCGAGUGGGACGCCUGAUACGGAAACAAGGGAUCCCCCCUGUUGGUUCUCGCUGAGAGGCCCAACGACCCACGGCUGGCGUGGAGAGCAC
Molecule: non-coding RNA, 179 nt
Filed under: Desulfuromonas soudanensis
Lineage: Bacteria; Pseudomonadati; Thermodesulfobacteriota; Desulfuromonadia; Desulfuromonadales; Desulfuromonadaceae
Description: 6S / SsrS RNA
Rfam family: 6S / SsrS RNA
About the family: E. coli 6S RNA was the first non coding RNA to be sequenced, but its function was unknown until recently. It consists of 184 nucleotides that fold into an extended hairpin structure with a large single-stranded internal bulge.
Source: Rfam by way of RNAcentral